UACGAAGGGGGCUAGCGUUGCUCGGAAUCACUGGGCGUAAAGCGCACGUAGGCGGAUUGUUAAGUCGGGGGUGAAAUCCUGGAGCUCAACUCCAGAACUGCCUUCGAUACUGGCGAUCUAGAGUCCGGGAGAGGUGAGUGGAACUGCGAGUGUAGAGGUGAAAUUCGUAGAUAUUCGCAAGAACACCAGCGGCGAAGGCGGCGCUCUGGGCCGGUACUGACGCUGAGGAGCGAAAGCGUGGGGAGCAAACAGG
Molecule: ribosomal RNA, 253 nt
Filed under: uncultured bacterium
Lineage: Bacteria
Description: partial 16S ribosomal RNA
Rfam family: Bacterial small subunit ribosomal RNA
Source: RNAcentral